RNAcentral lists this transfer RNA (89 nucleotides) under Planobispora rosea. RNAcentral describes it as "tRNA-Ala". The record is from RNAcentral. Lineage: Bacteria; Bacillati; Actinomycetota; Actinomycetes; Streptosporangiales; Streptosporangiaceae.
CGCCCGUGGCGCGGUCCAGCCGCGCCACGGCGACCGCCCCGCCGCGGGUGCGGGUGAGCCCGCGGUGGAUCUGCUCCACCACGGCGGCC